AUGUACUCACACUCUCCCAAGGAGGUGUUGAUUGCAUCAUGGCAAUUUGUUCAUUUCGGCGGAUUGUCAUUUGAUUCGGGGAAUUUCUUUCGUUGGGUUAUGUGCGAUAGCAAAUUUUAUCGUUUCUUAAAAAGUCUAAGAAAGAAAAGAGUUAUUAGGGUAGCACCCCCGAAGCAGGAAUGUUCGAAGGAGUUUCAAGAAUCAAGGGAUAAUCCAAUAACACUUCCUGUGUUUGGAAAUCAAAAAUUUGUUUCAAACUUAAUAAGAGGCAAUUGUAUUGUUGAUGCAAGUUCUUUAGACCCAAACCACCAAACUUUUUCGCUUUACAAACGUUGUUCCGAGCAAUUAGACACUGACACUUGUACAUGUUUCCUCUACAACCAACACAGUGAAAGCCAUCUAUUUUUUGAGCACUUUUUGGGGGAUCAUCCUAAAUACAGACAUAAGUAG
This 450-nucleotide ribosomal RNA is filed under the name Triticum aestivum (bread wheat). RNAcentral describes it as "partial small subunit ribosomal RNA". Lineage: Eukaryota; Viridiplantae; Streptophyta; Magnoliopsida; Poales; Poaceae. The record is from RNAcentral.